CGCUGGAGACCUUUCUGCUUCCCUCAGGAUUGAAAAAAUAAUAGAUUCCGUCACAGUCUCACAUUGGGUUGAGGAGCAUGCUCGCAGGUUCACGAGGGACAGUGUCUGCACAAGAAAGGGAGCAAGUGUCUCUGGCUCAUAUGCUAUCGCUGCACACAUAAAACAGGCCAUUAAGCAAGUUAGCGAUCAUUAAUGAACAUACUCGAGCAAGAUAGAUAUUUAUGCAAGUUGACGCGACACGUCAUUCAUUAAAAUAUUUGCUCAGAACACUGUCAAAUAAACAGCUGCACAUACAGCAACUCUGUUGUUGAGAACCUGCAUUGGUCUUAUAACAGUUAUGAUAAUGUAGAUCUAGAUCUGCAAGCGUUUCAGUAAAGAAUGACACGAGUCUUUUACACGUUCUGAUGUCAACUCAUGCAGUGAUACAGUAAAUAUGUGUGAAUAAUUUGGUGAAAAAAAUCAUAUUGUGGGUAUUAUGUUUCAAUUUAGGGUUGUGAUAAAAUACUAAUAAGUUUAGUAGUUUUAUUUACAGGCUACGAUUCAGAGAAUAAAAAAAAAUAGAAGAAUACCACAUUUGAACAAAACAAAAAUAUUAUUUAUUUACCUGUACUGUCUGUUUUUUUUUUAACUUCCAACUCCCACUGUCUGUUGCCGCCAGGCAAAUUAAAGCGAUGCACGCGCUGUUUGGCAGCGUGUUUCAUUGGUGGAUCUAUGUGUCACCCAAGUAGCCUGGUGGUGAUUGGUUGGCGGACCGCUAAUGUCACGGAAGCAGGUGUGGGAGUGUAGCGCCUUAGCCCAGUAAUGCUGGUAGCCUUUCUUAAUAGAGCCGAAACGUAGGCCCAGCGUUUCAGCGGUAAGGAUGUGGACGGUGACAGUUAAUUGGAGAAGCGGGCCAAUUGGAGCCUACACUAUGUGUGUGAGAUGAAAGAGUUGGUGGUAACUGACCUGGAGACUGUGCUUCCAGGACACUGGUAUCUUCCCCCUUCAAGCUACAUCAAGGCACACAGCCUCAACUUCACAGGACAGUCGACAGCCCAUGGACAGCAGAUGAAAAACUAAGGCAGCAUAUCCUGCGCCUGUUAAAUCCUCAACUAAUUAGCAAAAAUGGUGUCCUUUCUUUUCUUUUUAAGCAUUUAGUCUCAGGGGGUGGCAAAGAGAGAAUAAGACAGAGAGGAGGAGGGAGAAAGGAGAGAUGGGGUAAUACUGAGAGCAAGACUGGAGCGAGGGAGUGACUGAGAGGGAGGAGAAGCAUCUGAGCUCUCAGCUGGGCUGUUUUGAAAACACACUGUUGAAAGCCCCUCGGUUAAUUCAUGGCUUUUGUUUUUAGACCUUUUGUGUUUGUCAGUUUGACCAUGUAACAUCAUACAUCUGGUCUAUAGAUUUUUGGGAGCUUUCUCUCUCUCAGGGACACAUAGUGUCCCCCUGGGCUCGAAUUCGAGUGGUCGUGUAACAUAAAAGCACCUCAAGUGUGGACUGAGGGAGAGUCGCAGACAGCCAGACAUGGGAAU
Molecule: long non-coding RNA, 1508 nt
Filed under: Betta splendens (Siamese fighting fish)
Lineage: Eukaryota; Metazoa; Chordata; Actinopteri; Anabantiformes; Osphronemidae
Description: lncRNA (ENSBSLG00000019492.1)
Source: RNAcentral